Molecule: ribosomal RNA, 404 nt
Filed under: uncultured Eubacteriales bacterium
Lineage: Bacteria; Bacillati; Bacillota; Clostridia; Eubacteriales
Description: uncultured Clostridiales bacterium partial 16S ribosomal RNA
Rfam family: Bacterial small subunit ribosomal RNA
Source: RNAcentral
UGGGGAAUAUUGGGCAAUGGGGGAAACCCUGACCCAGCAACGCCGCGUGAGGGAAGAAGGUCUUCGGAUUGUAAACCUCUGUAAUCGGGGACGAAGAAUUGACGGUACCCGAUAAGCAAGCCCCGGCUAACUACGUGCCAGCAGCCGCGGUAAUACGUAGGGGGCAAGCGUUGUCCGGAAUUACUGGGCGUAAAGGGAGCGUAGGCGGUUUUUUAAGUCAGAUGUGAAAUAUCCAGGCUCAACCUGGAGGGUGCAUUUGAAACUGGAAGACUUGAGUGCAGGAGAGGAAAGUGGAAUUCCUAGUGUAGCGGUGAAAUGCGUAGAUAUUAGGAGGAACACCAGUGGCGAAGGCGACUUUCUGGACUGUAACUGACGCUGAGGCUCGAAAGCGUGGGGAGCAAACA